UGACAUUGGAGAGCACAAAAAGCUUCAGCUUAGUUCCAGCAAUUCACCAUCACACUCGAAAAACAAGCAAACUCCUCCGAUUUGAAUUUGUGAAUUUGUGGUUUCCUUCACCUGAGUUCCUCCGAUUUGAAUCUCUCAUCUCAAACUCUGAGCUCCGAACUUCAAUUUAAUCCCCAGAGAGAGAUUGAUCCGAGCUCAAAACUCUCCGACAUCGUCGUAGCAGCAUCCCUCGCGAUCUCCUCCGCUUGAGAUCAAAAUUUUGGUGCGACCUUUUCAUUUCUCCUCUAAUUUCAUAUAUAAUUUCUCUAUUUAUAACCAUUAUUCUAUCAUUUUAUUGAAGCUCUGCUUUGGUGCAUUGUAAUUGAAGCUCUACUUUCGAAUUGAAGUCCAGUCUCACAGUAGCCAUUCUAAGUACUUGUUAGUUUUGAAAUGGACAAGAGUUGGAUUAAUGCGCCAAGGGUUAGUGAUGUUUAUAAGAGUGGAUGUGAGUCAUUCAUACAAUUUGCCAUGGAAGCUCAAGAAACUAUACUUUGCCCCUGCUUGAAGUGUUGUAAUGGCAAAAGGUUUUCAACUGAAAAUGUUCUUCAUCACAUAUUAUUCAAUGGUUUUUGUCCGGGAUAUACUACUUGGAAUUUUCACGGAGAACAUGUAUCGUCGGUGGAUUGCUAUUCCGAUUACUAGAGCUGCACGCUCCUAAGUUGUUUGGUGGAUUGCUAUUCCGAUUGAGGCGUUUGAGCUGCACACGAGAUACUUGUGAAAUUAGCUAGCAUUUGUGUUGUAAGUUUGGACCCGAAGAGUUUGAAGUUUGGAAUCAAAACGACAUAAACUGUAGGGGACUUGUCUAUCUAAAUGUUUUGAUCAUGUUUCGAUCCAAAGUGACAAUAUCCCAGUACAAAAAAGGCCCUCCAACAACAAAUUGUAGUUCUCUACCGCCACCAUCUUCCACAUUCUCACAACCUCUUACUAUUGAUUCACAUCAUUCUCCAGAUUCUAUUUUCAACCACUUGCGUCCACCUUCAUUAAAUAGUAAUUACACACAGCUAAGCCCCCUUCGG
This is a long non-coding RNA of Salvia miltiorrhiza (redroot sage), 1055 nucleotides long. RefSeq lists it as uncharacterized. NCBI's taxonomy places the organism in Eukaryota, Viridiplantae, Streptophyta, Magnoliopsida, Lamiales, Lamiaceae. The transcript is spliced from 4 exons. The record is from RefSeq and is a predicted model, not a curated record.